CGGACGGGUGAGUAAUGUCUGGGAAACUGCCUGAUGAGGGGGAUAACUACUGGAAACGGUAGCUAAUACCGCAUAACGUCGCAAGACCAAGAGGGGACCUUCGGGCCUCUUGCCAUCGGAUGUGCCCAGAUGGGAUUAGCUAGUAGGUGGGGUAACGGCUCACCUAGGCGACGAUCCCUAGCUGGUCUGAGAGGAUGACCAGCCACACUGGAACUGAGACACGGUCCAG
This 229-nucleotide ribosomal RNA is filed under the name uncultured bacterium. RNAcentral describes it as "partial 16S ribosomal RNA". It matches the Rfam family "Bacterial small subunit ribosomal RNA", at positions 99 to 334 of the family's 1533-position model. The record is from RNAcentral.